Long non-coding RNA from Oreochromis niloticus (Nile tilapia), 2419 nucleotides. RefSeq lists it as uncharacterized. The transcript has 2 exons. NCBI's taxonomy places the organism in Eukaryota, Metazoa, Chordata, Actinopteri, Cichliformes, Cichlidae. The record is from RefSeq and is a predicted model, not a curated record.
GAUUGCAGUUAUUUUACAUCAAAGUUCUUCUCUGAGAUAAGACGACCAUUUCUGGGAAAGAUGACAGUAUUUUCAGGCUGGAUGCUGUUUGCAAGGAGAACUGACUGAAACUCUCCUGCACCUCAGCGCUGAGGUCCACAUCACGCCCUGUGAAACCACAGAUAUAAAUCUGCUGCAGUGAGAAGAACUUUACCCAACACAAGUGCAGAAUUAGAAAUUUGACUUUACCAUCCAACCUGUUAAAAACAAAGCUUUCAUUGCCUCUGUUAUUGAUGGUGUAAGUCAUGUAGUACUAAUCAUACUUCACAUCAGCCAUGCACAAGUCAGAGUAUCUCCAGGCUUUCAAUAAUAAAGCCAAGGAGAUGAUGUGAAAAUAGCAAUAGUAAAAUAUGCAUCAUAAUCAGUUGUAUGUGUCAACUAUGUGGCACCUCAGUCUUGUUGGCACGAAGAAAAGUUGUGUAACAUGUAGCAUGAGGGCUGCAAAGACAUCAUUUAAACAGCAGUCAUCUGUUAGUCGUAAUGUAUCUCCUGUUAAAUAGUUAAAUGUCUGUUCUCCAUCUCUGUCCUGUCACAGCUCGGCGUGUACCAACUCCAGCUGUGGUAACCAUGGCUGUGCCCAUCAACACACUGAAGCUGAGACGCCACCCGUCACUAUGGCGACUCCAAUAGGGUUACCUGUCAACUGUGGACACAUGAAAGGAAAACAGCAGAAACACAAGACAUGUUUACUGGAACAUUUCCAAUUGAUAGCUUUAUGGAAAAGUGUGUUUAAACACGUUUUUUGAUUUUGGUCAUGAUUGGAUUUAUUGUGAAAGAAAUUUCAAAGGUUUAAUUUGACCUUUCCCCUGUUUUUCAUACAGACUGGAGACGAAUGGAUGGUGCUUUCUUUGUUGGUUUAAAGAUAAUGAAUAAAUCUCUACAGACAUCUUAAACCACCCUCCUUUCUAUAUAUUUUGUUAUAUAAAUGAAAAACAGUAUAUAAGACAAAAACUGAGCUUAUAUGAUACUAAGGACCCUGGAAGUCAGUCCACCUUUAUUAUUCAGCACAGCCUUAAGUCUCUUAGUCAAGCCUUUUUGUGUUUUCUGUGAGGAAGUAUUCAGGAGCAGUUCUUUUCUUGGAUGUUGGUUCCCUUUGUUUCCAUCCUCUGUUAAGAUGUUUCAGUAAUGUUGAGGUCUGGGGAGGCCGAUCCAUGCCUGAAGUCCUGUGAUGCUGCAUACUGCAUUAGCAGUUUGUUCAUAGUGAAAAAUGAAGCCACUGCCAAUCAGACAUUUGCAUAGUGGAUCAACUUCUGAUGGUACUUUCCUGAAUUCCACACCUAUAAUAUGUUUGCACAUACUGAUGAAUAUUUGCAGCUGAUUUUCAGUCCAGUUCCUGUGUAAUGUGACAGACGCCAGUCUUUCUGCCUGUGUCCUUCCUUAAGAAUAGAGCCAUCCUUCCACUGAGACUGUUUCUGAUGAGGCUUCAUUGAGCAGCAGAUGGAUCCCUCAGCUCAUCUAAUCGUCCUAUUUCUUAACACAUGGCUGUCAGAAACUGUUAAUCUGCUGCAGCUCUUUAACUCUUCCACUUCUUUAUUUAUAUAAUGGAGUUGAACCUGUAAUGGAGUUUGAUUUAAACCAAUCUAAGCAAUUAAGUGAAUGAUGGUGAGCAAAGAAAUGAUGGCGGAGGUCGUGGAUGAAGACCCGGACAGCUGUGGUUGGCUCCUCGUAUAUAGCAGAGUGAGGUUGUGUUUGCACACUAUUAUAAAACCAUGUUCACUAUAUAUUUUAGCUGCAGACAAUCACAUUAUUUGUUGCUGUGGUGAUGUUAUUCCACUUUGGUAAAAUGGGAGAACGAUCAUUUCUUGCUGUUAUUGACACAUUAUUCCAAGACCCUCAACACAAGCCUUGUAGUCCAACCAUAUAAAAACAAAUAAAUAGUUGUGUUUGUAACAGCUCAUGAACAUGAAUCAUUCCACAUUACUUUAAAAAUCAUUGUAAACUAAACUGGAAUAAAUGAGUGUUUAUAUAUAGUUUUGUCUCAGCUGUUUAUACACAGUGUUUCAGUUCUUAUCAGAGUCCCACCGUCUCACAUGUGAUGAACCUUUAGCUCUGUUGUUAGCGUGUUGUUAGACCAGGUUUCCCUCAUUUAAAAAAUAAUCUCUCAUUAGAAAUGGAUAUGAUGUCAUAGAAAUGCUUAUUAUGGGCUCACUUGAUGUCAUUGAAAAGAUGCACAUAGGUAACGUGCAGGCCAUCCAGCUCCGAGGUUUAUCUCCUCACCUCGAGUCUGCGACACUCUCUCCAUGUCCUCUCAGAUAAGGGCGCGUACAUUUCUGCAUGAUCUUCAAAAUCACUCCUCCCACAGUCUAAACACAUGCAGUUAGUGGGGUCAGGUUAACUGUGAGUGGUUGUGUGUCUCUCUGUGUUAUUCCACCUUAAUAAA